This 696-nucleotide ribosomal RNA is filed under the name uncultured bacterium. RNAcentral describes it as "bacterial SSU rRNA". It matches the Rfam family "Bacterial small subunit ribosomal RNA", at positions 32 to 715 of the family's 1533-position model. The record is from RNAcentral.
AACGCUAGCUACAGGCUUAACACAUGCAAGUCGAGGGGAAACGACAUCGAAAGCUUGCUUUUGAUGGGCGUCGACCGGCGCACGGGUGAGUAACGCGUAUCCAACCUGCCCACCACUUGGGGAUAACCUUGCGAAAGUAAGACUAAUACCCAAUGACAUCUCUAGAAGACAUCUGAAGGAGAUUAAAGAUUUACCGGUAAUCGAUGGGGAUGCGUUCCAUUAGAUAGUAGGCGGGGUAACGGCCCACCUAGUCUACGAUGGAUAGGGGUUCUGAGAGGAAGGUCCCCCACAUUGGAACUGAGACACGGUCCAAACUCCUACGGGAGGCAGCAGUGAGGAAUAUUGGUCAAUGGACGAGAGUCUGAACCAGCCAAGUAGCGUGAAGGAUGACUGCCCUAUGGGUUGUAAACCUCUUUUAUAAAGGAAUAAAGUGGUCCACGUGUGGAUUUUUGUAUGUACUUUAUGAAUAAGGAUCGGCUAACUCCGUGCCAGCAGCCGCGGUAAUACGGAGGAUCCAAGCGUUAUCCGGACUUAUUGGGUUUAAAGGGAGCGUAGAUGGAUUUUUAAGUCAGUUGUGAAAGUUCGGGGCUCAACCCCGUAAUUGCAGUUGAUACUGGAUAUCUUGAGUACAGUUGAGGUAGGCGGAAUUCGUGGUGUAGCGGUGAAAUGCUUAGAUAUCACGAAGAACUCCGAUUG